Molecule: ribosomal RNA, 449 nt
Filed under: uncultured bacterium
Lineage: Bacteria
Description: partial 16S ribosomal RNA
Rfam family: Bacterial small subunit ribosomal RNA
Source: RNAcentral
AACGAACGCUGGCGGCAGGCUUAACACAUGCAAGUCGAACGCAUCCUUCGGGGUGAGUGGCAGACGGGUGAGUAACGCGUGGGAACGUGCCCUUCAGUUCGGGAUAACCCAGGGAAACUUGGGCUAAUACCGGAUACGUGCGAGAGCAGAAAGAUUUAUCGCUGAAGGAUCGGCCCGCGUCUGAUUAGCUAGUUGGUGGGGUAAUGGCCCACCAAGGCGACGAUCAGUAGCUGGUUUGAGAGGAUGAUCAGCCAGACUGGAACUGAGAUACGGUCCAGACUCCUACGGGAGGCAGCAGUCAGGAAUAUUCCACAAUGGGGGCAACCCUGAUGGAGCAACGCCGCGUGGAGGAUGAAGGCCUUCGGGUCGUAAACUUCUUUUCUCUGUGAAGAAUAUGACGGUAACAGAGGAAUAAGGGUCUGCUAACUACGUGCCAGCCGCCGCCGUAA